GACGAACGCUGGCGGCGUGCUUAACACAUGUAAGUCGAACGGAAAGGCCCUGCUUUUGUGGGGUGCUCGAGUGGCGAACGGGUGAGUAACACGUGAGUAACCUGCCCUUGACUCGGGAUAACUUCAGGAAACUGGGGCUAAUACCGGAUAGGAGCUCCUGCUGCAUGGUGGGGGUUGGAAAGUUUCGGCGGUUGCGGAUGGACUCGCGGCUUAUCAUCUUGUUGGUGGGGUAGUGGCUUACCAAGGCUUUGACGGGUAGCCGGCCUGAGAGGGUGACCGGCCACAUUGGGACUGAGAUACGGCCCAGACUCCUACGGGAGGCAGCAGUGGGGAAUAUUGCACAAUGGGCUGGAAGCCUGAUGCAGCAACGCCGCGUGCGGGGAUGACGGCCCUUUCGGGGUUGUAAAACCCGCCUUUCGCCCUGUGAC
RNAcentral lists this ribosomal RNA (428 nucleotides) under Cutibacterium acnes. RNAcentral describes it as "bacterial SSU rRNA". It matches the Rfam family "Bacterial small subunit ribosomal RNA", at positions 28 to 448 of the family's 1533-position model. Lineage: Bacteria; Bacillati; Actinomycetota; Actinomycetes; Propionibacteriales; Propionibacteriaceae. The record is from RNAcentral.